This 465-nucleotide ribosomal RNA is filed under the name uncultured bacterium. RNAcentral describes it as "partial 16S ribosomal RNA". It matches the Rfam family "Bacterial small subunit ribosomal RNA", at positions 28 to 507 of the family's 1533-position model. The record is from RNAcentral.
GACGAACGCUGGCGGCGUGCUUAACACAUGCAAGUCGAACGGAAAGGCCCUUCUUGCAGGGUACUCGAGUGGCGAACGGGUGAGUAACACGUGGGUGAUCUGCCCUGCACUUCGGGAUAAGCCUAGGAAACUGGGUCUAAUACCGGAUAGGAGCCAUUUUUAGCGUGAUGGUUGGAAAGUUUUUUCUCCGUAGGAUGAGCUCGCGGCCUAUCAGCUUGUUGGUGGGGUAAUGGCCUACCAAGGCGGCGACGGGUAUCCGGCCUGAGAGGGUGGACGGCCACACUGGGACUGAGAUACGGCCCAGACGGCGACGGGAGGCAGCAGGGGGGAAGACUGCACAAUGAGCGCAGGCCUGAUGCAGAGACGCCGCGUGGGGGAUGACGGCCUUCGGGUUGUAGACUCCUUUCGCUAGGGACGAAGCGUUUUGUGACGGUACCUAGAGAAGAAGCACCGGCUAACUACGUG